This 460-nucleotide ribosomal RNA is filed under the name Micrococcineae bacterium CL6.11. RNAcentral's name for it is "bacterial SSU rRNA". It matches the Rfam family "Bacterial small subunit ribosomal RNA", at positions 17 to 490 of the family's 1533-position model. Lineage: Bacteria; Bacillati; Actinomycetota; Actinomycetes; Micrococcales. The record is from RNAcentral.
CCCUGGCUCAGGACGAACGCGGCGGCGUGCUUAACACAUGCAAGUCGAACGGUGAUGGCCAGCUUGCUGGUCUGAUCAGUGGCGAACGGGUGAGUAACACGUGAGCAACCUACCCCAGACUCUGGAAUAACCAUGGGAAACGAUGGCUAAUACCGGAUACGAGACGCACACGCAUGUGUGGUGUCUGGAAAGAUUUAUCGGUCUGGGAUGGGCUCGCGGCCUAUCAGCUUGUUGGUGGGGUAGUGGCCUACCAAGGCGACGACGGGUAGCCGGCCUGAGAGGGCGACCGGCCACACUGGGACUGAGAUACGGCCCAGACUCCUACGGGAGGCAGCAGUGGGGAAUAUUGCACAAUGGGCGCAAGCCUGAUGCAGCGACGCCGCGUGAGGGAUGACGGCCUUCGGGUUGUAAACCUCUUUCAGCAGGGAAGAAGCGAAAGUGACGGUACCUGCAGAAGAAG